RNAcentral lists this long non-coding RNA (444 nucleotides) under Homo sapiens (human). RNAcentral's name for it is "non-protein coding lnc-DGAT1-2:1". Lineage: Eukaryota; Metazoa; Chordata; Mammalia; Primates; Hominidae. The record is from RNAcentral.
CCCGUCGGUCUCCUUGCCCCUUCCUCCUUCCCCCGUUCCUCUCCAGGGCCACCAGGCCCCUCAGGAAGCACACACAUACCCCCAUUAUCCAAUUUGGGGAUGGCCCCCUAUCUCCAUGGGGAGGAGAGGGAAGGACCCUCAGCAGGGGGCAGGGCCCAAGGGGUCCCUCCUGCAGCAGGGGGCCCGGCAGGCUCCCAGCUGUGCUCUGUCUUGCCUGGGCCCCUCCCCGUGGCUACUGUUGCAGGAAGCAGCCUCCUGGGCAGCGGUCCCCAGGCUGGAAGGAGCGAGGGUGGCGGCUGGCAGGGGCUGCAACCAGGAAUGACAUCCGGAACACGGUGGGCAACGUGCCCUUGGAGUGGUACGAUGACUUCCCCCACGUGGGCUACGACCUGGAUGGCAGGCGCAUCUACAAGCCCCUGCGGACCCGGGAUGAGCUGGACCAGU